This 70-nucleotide transfer RNA is filed under the name Spinus psaltria (lesser goldfinch). Its description in RNAcentral is "tRNA-Pro". It matches the Rfam family "tRNA". Rfam says of the family: Transfer RNA (tRNA) molecules are approximately 80 nucleotides in length. The record is from RNAcentral. Lineage: Eukaryota; Metazoa; Chordata; Aves; Passeriformes; Fringillidae.
CAGGGAGUAGUUUAAUUUAGAACGCCAGCUUUGGGAGUUGGUAAUGAAGGUUUGAUUCCUUUCUCCUUGA